GUGGGCGUUGGAAGAUUGAAGGGGGCUGCUCCUAGUACGAGAGGACCGGAGUGGACGAACCUCUGGUGUUCGGGUUGUGUCGCCAGACGCAUUGCCCGGUAGCUAAGUUCGGAAUCGAUAACCGCUGAAAGCAUCUAAGCGGGAAGCGAGCCCUGAGAUGAGUCUUCCCUGAUACUUUAAGUAUCCUAAAGGGUUGUCGGAGACUACGACGUUGAUAGGUCAGGUGUGUAAGUGCUGUGAGGCAUUGAGCUAACUGAUACUAAUUGCCCGUGAGGCUUAACCAUACAACACCCAAGGGGUUU
This 302-nucleotide ribosomal RNA is filed under the name Vibrio parahaemolyticus. RNAcentral's name for it is "partial 23S ribosomal RNA". It matches the Rfam family "Bacterial large subunit ribosomal RNA", at positions 2647 to 2925 of the family's 2925-position model. Lineage: Bacteria; Pseudomonadati; Pseudomonadota; Gammaproteobacteria; Vibrionales; Vibrionaceae. The record is from RNAcentral.